Molecule: ribosomal RNA, 252 nt
Filed under: uncultured microorganism
Description: partial 16S ribosomal RNA
Rfam family: Bacterial small subunit ribosomal RNA
Source: RNAcentral
UACGUAGGGUGCGAGCGUUGUCCGGAUUUAUUGGGCGUAAAGCGAGCGCAGGUGGUUUAAUAAGUCUGAUGUAAAAGGCAGUGGCUCAACCAUUGUGUGCAUUGGAAACUGUUAGACUUGAGUGCAGUAGAGGAGAGUGGAAUUCCAUGUGUAGCGGUGAAAUGCGUAGAUAUAUGGAGGAACACCGGUGGCGAAAGCGGCUCUCUGGCCUGUAACUGACACUGAGGCUCGAAAGCGUGGGGAGCAAACAGG